RNAcentral lists this ribosomal RNA (497 nucleotides) under uncultured bacterium. RNAcentral's name for it is "partial 16S ribosomal RNA". It matches the Rfam family "Bacterial small subunit ribosomal RNA", at positions 28 to 507 of the family's 1533-position model. The record is from RNAcentral.
GAUGAACGCUGGCGGCGUGCCUAAUACAUGCAAGUCGAGCGAACGGACGAGAAGCCUGCUUUUCUGAUGUUAGCGGCGGACGGGUGAGUAACACGUGGAUAACCUACCUAUAAGACUGGGAUAACUUCGGGAAACCGGAGCUAAUACCGGAUAAUAUUUUGAACCGCAUGGUUCAAAAGUGAAAGACGGUCUUGCUGUCACUUAUAGAUGGAUCCGCGCUGCAUUAGCUAGUUGGUAAGGUAACGGCUUACCAAGGCAACGAUGCAUAGCCGACCUGAGAGGGUGAUCGGCCACACUGGAACUGAGACACGGUCCAGACUCCUACGGGAGGCAGCAGUAGGGAAUCUUCCGCAAUGGGCGAAAGCCUGGCGGAGCAACGCCGCGUGAGUGAUGAAGGUCUUCGGAUCGUAAAACUCUGUUAUUAGGGAAGAACAUAUGUGUAAGUAACUGUGCACAUCUUGACGGUACCUAAUCAGAAAGCCACGGCUAACUACGUG